CCUACGGGUGGCAGCAGUGAGGAAUAUUGGUCAAUGGACGAGAGUCUGAACCAGCCAAGUAGCGUGAAGGAUGACUGCCCUAUGGGUUGUAAACUUCUUUUAUAUGGGAAUAAAAUGUUCCACGUGUGGGAUUUUGUAUGUACCAUAUGAAUAAGGAUCGGCUAACUCCGUGCCAGCAGCCGCGGUAAUACGGAGGAUCCGAGCGUUAUCCGGAUUUAUUGGGUUUAAAGGGAGCGUAGGUGGAUUGUUAAGUCAGUUGUGAAAGUUCGCGGCUCAACCGUAAAAUUGCAGUUGAAACUGGCAGUCGUGAGUACAGUAGAGGUGGGCGGAAGUCGUGGUGUAGCGGUGAAAUGCUUAGAUAUCACGAAGAACUCCGAUGGCGAAGGCAGCUCACUGGACUGCAACUGACACUGAGGCUCGAAAGUGUGGGUAUCAAACAGGAUUAGAUACCCUAGUAGUC
This 460-nucleotide ribosomal RNA is filed under the name uncultured bacterium. Its description in RNAcentral is "partial 16S ribosomal RNA". It matches the Rfam family "Bacterial small subunit ribosomal RNA", at positions 338 to 795 of the family's 1533-position model. The record is from RNAcentral.